This is a long non-coding RNA of Gymnodraco acuticeps, 298 nucleotides long. RefSeq lists it as uncharacterized. The record is from RefSeq and is a predicted model, not a curated record. The transcript is spliced from 3 exons. Lineage: Eukaryota; Metazoa; Chordata; Actinopteri; Perciformes; Bathydraconidae.
CUACUGGAAACAGUGGAGAGGGAGGAGAUGAUAUGCAGCAUACGGCCCAGCCGGUUGGUUGCUGCUCCGUGUGGAACGUGUCCUAUCAGGUGUAACAUCUACCAAUGGUUGUACAUGACAGAGACCUCCUCCACCUCUUUGCUGUCUUACUAGUCAAUCCUUCUGAUCAGGUCCUUUCCUAAAUAGUGAAAGGAUCAUGCCAGCCCACAUCAAACACCUGAUCAAGAGCUUGUGAACCUCACUGCUGCAGACACCUGUGUGAUAUUCCACUCUGACUGGAAGUUACUCUCAAAAUGAC